AAUUCUAAUUUCCCACCCUACUUAACAUUAUUUUGGAAAAAAUGAAACCUAACCCCAAACCCAGAUCUCUCCCUUCAUCUCUCAUCUUGUUUCCUCUUCUUCUCUUCAUCCCCACUCAUUGAUGAAAAGGCCGAUGCCAAUAAUCCGGUCAUCAGGUGAGCCCAUCAUCGGAUCUAAGGAAGAACAUGCAGCUGGUGUUGAAGAAGUGUGAGCCCAUUUUUGAAUUACUUGGAAAAUGAAGUGAGCCAAGGAGGAGGACGGCGAGGAAUUUGAUGAGGAAUUGGAGGAGUCUGAUGAUGAUGAGGUGGCGGAAAAUGAAGAAGAAGAAGAUGAAGAUGAGGACGAGGAGGAGGAAGAAGAAGGAAAUGUAGAAGAAGAAGAAGGUGGAGGCAAGAACGAAAUCGAGGAUGGUUUCUUUAAUAGAAAGGCUACGGAAGCAGGGGAAUAUGGGAAUGACAAGGAGGAUGAAGAGGAUGAAGAAGAAGAUGGUGAAGAUGAGGAGGAAGAGGAUGAUGCCCAGGAGCUCAUGAAUGUAGGGGAAGGUGAGGACGACGGGGAUGGCAUGGAUGCAAGAAUCCAUGGAAACUAUCUAGCAGAGAUGCCGUUUAUUGGAACCCGCUAUAUGUAUAGGCGUCAAGGAAUGUGCUGCCGGCUUCUAAGUGCGAUUGAAUCUGUAAUGUUCAUCUCAAAUAUAGCAUCUUGCUUGUCUUUACAUGUGCUUUAACCUAUGACUUAACUUCCAACUUUCUUUUCUUUUUAUUUCGGGAGUUGAAAACGUUUUUGCAAGUUGCUGCCUCUUGAUUUCACGGAUCAAAAUAUGGUUAAGAUUUUCUGGUUUCAUUUCAUUAUGUCUACUCCUCAGUAUCUGAAAUUAUAUUUUUCCCUUUUUUUCAUUUGAGAACUUGUCAUACUAUAAAGUGUUCAAUCAAUAUUUUCAAUCAAUAAAAGAUUGAUAUCUUUCUGCUAGACAUAAGAUACAUUUAAGAUAUCUUUCUGAUAUCCCGUAUAAUCAGUUUAAGGAAAAACAACAGUACAGGAAUAAAACUAUAUAAUUAUGCUACAUUUACUUGUUCAAGAUAGAGUAUUAAAGUUGCAUAACAUUUGGUUCCUUUAUUUUGGAUUCUGGUGCUUUGUGUACUUGGUGUACAAGCAGGUGUACCGUAACCGUAAUGAUGAGUCGUGGCCAUUGGGCCUGUGACUCCAACCGUGGAUGAGUGCUAGCAUAAUCUCAUAUCAUAUAGGUGCAUGUAGAACUUAUAGAUAGAGGAACACGAGUCUCUCUAUCUAUUGUCAAUUAAUUUUGAAUGAAAAUAAAGUUGUAAUGUUUACACAUACGUCAUCAUUCAUCACCAUUGUGCACUACCAUUCAUAUUCUGUGCUGUAAAUAGGAUGACAGAUGUGAUUGUGGUAGGAGCAAAUUUAAACCAACCUUCAAUAAUACCAAACUAUAAUAGAAGCUAGCUAAAUAUCUACCAAGACAUUGAAUCAUGGAGCUUAUAUAGGCAGAUAACAGUUAGCAUAUAAAUGCAAAUUUAUUUGAUUUAGAGCACAUUUCUGGUUAUUCGCGGAAGGUAUUAGGCAAUGAGCAAGUUCCGUGACUUGGUCUUCAAUGUAAGUAAACAAUUAUUGUGGGAGAUAUAUAUUCUUCAAACUAGGCAGACCUGUACUAUUAUCUUCUUGUCUUUGUAACUGGGACAAAACCUUUUUAUUUUUCUUGUAAUUAAAUUAUAUUGUUCAAUCAAUAAAAGAUUGAUAUCUUUCUGCUAGACAUAAGAUAGCAUUGCUAUACAUUUCUCUCUUCCUAAUUGUAUUGGUAUUAUUCCUCAUAUACUAUCACUUGAAAGUUGGGAAUGGAACUAAGCUGCGAGUAAAUAUUCAGAUUACAGAACACUUGGAGAUGCUCACUUGCAAACACAAAUUACAUAUAUGUAGUUGCUCACUUUAAGUUUUAUAAUCUGUCAUUUGAACAACUGAUCUAAGCAUUUGAAUUGGAAGACUAAUGUAUGCAUUUUGUAAAUGUUUCAAUGUCCGUAUAGCUGCUGAUCAGCUGAAACCAUUGUGUUGAUGAUCGAACAUAAUAGGGAGAUCAGAUUUUAGAUCACCAAGCAACUUGCAGCACACGGACAACUCUUUUAAAGAAGAAUCAGAUAGUAGUGUAGUGCCUUAAAGUUAUAGGAGGAACAAUAUAGAGCUAGAGGCUCUGGAAACAAUUUUGGAGGCAGGAAACUCUCUUAUAUUUUGCAUUACUAUUUGAUACACUAUACUGAUUAAUGUGAUAUAUGAUGUUUCUCAUUUUGAUCAAGAAUCAAUUCACUUCAGUUAUAACUUUCAUUAUUGCAAAUUGUCAGCAACAAUAAAUCCAGUGGCAAAGCGCGGGGUACCAUUGCUAGUGUAUACUAGGAAUGUAAAGAACAUCUUGCUAUGAAUGUAAAGUUUAUUCAUGUUCGAUUGA
Long non-coding RNA from Rosa chinensis, 2452 nucleotides. RefSeq lists it as uncharacterized. The transcript is spliced from 4 exons. The record is from RefSeq and is a predicted model, not a curated record. Lineage: Eukaryota; Viridiplantae; Streptophyta; Magnoliopsida; Rosales; Rosaceae.